Molecule: ribosomal RNA, 303 nt
Filed under: uncultured bacterium
Lineage: Bacteria
Description: partial 16S ribosomal RNA
Rfam family: Bacterial small subunit ribosomal RNA
Source: RNAcentral
AGCAGUCGCCACGGGAAUACAGAGGGUGCGAGCGUUAAUCGGAUUUACUGGGCGUAAAGCGUGCGUAGGCGGCUUCUUAAGUCGGAUGUGAAAUCCCUGAGCUUAACUUAGGAAUUGCAUUCGAUACUGGGAAGCUAGAGUAUGGGAGAGGAUGGUAGAAUUCCAGGUGUAGCGGUGAAAUGCGUAGAGAUCUGGAGGAAUACCGAUGGCGAAGGCAGCCAUCUGGCCUAAUACUGACGCUGAGGUACGAAAGCAUGGGGAGCAAACAGGAUUAGAUCCCCGGUAGUACCUGUCUCUUAUACA